This 468-nucleotide ribosomal RNA is filed under the name uncultured bacterium. RNAcentral's name for it is "partial 16S ribosomal RNA". It matches the Rfam family "Bacterial small subunit ribosomal RNA", at positions 28 to 507 of the family's 1533-position model. The record is from RNAcentral.
GACGAACGCUGGCGGCGUGCUUAACACAUGCAAGUCGAACGGAAAGGCCCUGCUUUUGUGGGGUGCUCGAGUGGCGAACGGGUGAGUAACACGUGAGUAACCUUCCCUUGACUUUGGGAUAACUUCAGGAAACUGGGGCUAAUACCGGAUAGGAGCUCCUGCUACAUGGUGGGGGUUCGAAAGUUUCGGCGGUUGGGGAUGGUCUCGCGGCGUAUCAGCUUGUUGGUGGGGUAGUGGCUUACCAAGGCUUGGACGGGUAGCCGGCCUGAGAGGGUGACCGGCCACAUUGGGACUGAGAUACGGCCCAGACUCCUACGGGAGGCAGCAGUGGGGAAUAGUGCACAAUGGGCGGAAGCCUGAUGCAGCAACGCCGCGUGCGGGAUGACGGCCUUCGGGUUGUAAACCGCUGUCGCCUGUGACGAAGCGUGAGUGACGGUAAUGGGUAAAGAAGCACCGGCUAACUACGUG